GACGAACGCUGGCGGCGUGCUUAACACAUGCAAGUCGAGCGGUAAGGCCCUUUCGGGGGUACACGAGCGGCGAACGGGUGAGUAACACGUGGGUGACUUGCCCUCAGCUCUGGGAUAAGCCUGGGAAACCGGGUCUAAUACUGGAUAUGACUCCAUGACGCAUGUUGUGGGGUGGAAAGCCUUGUGCGGCUGAGGAUGGGCCCGCGGCCUAUCAGCUUGUUGGUGGGGUGANGGCCUACCAAGGCGACGACGGGUAGCCGGCCUGAGAGGGCGACCGGCCACACUGGGACUGAGACACGGCCCAGGCUCCUACGGGAGGCAGCAGUGGGGAAUCUUGCGCAAUGGGCGAAAGCCUGACGCAGCGACGCCGCGUGAGGGAUGACGGCCU
RNAcentral lists this ribosomal RNA (388 nucleotides) under uncultured bacterium. RNAcentral describes it as "bacterial SSU rRNA". It matches the Rfam family "Bacterial small subunit ribosomal RNA", at positions 28 to 417 of the family's 1533-position model. The record is from RNAcentral.